GCGGUUAAAAAGCUCGUUAGUUGGAUUUCUGUUGUGAGGAUGGGCGGUCCGCACUUCGUGCGUGGUGAUGCUGUUACAGCCUCGGCAUGCCUCUUGGAGAACGGUGCUGCAAUUCAUUUUGUGGUCCGGAAUUCAAGACUUUUACUUUGAGGAAAUUAGAGUGUUCACGGCAAGCAAUCGCUUUGAAUACAUUAGCAUGGAAUAAUAAUAUAGGAUCUUGGUACUAUUUUGUUGGUUUCUAGAACUAAGGUAAUGAUUAAUAGGGAUAAUUGGGGGCAUUCGUAUUAACGCGUCAGAGGUGGAAUUCUUGGAUUGCGUUACGACGAACUACUGCGAAAGCAUUUGCCAAGGAUGUUUUCAUUGAUCAAGAACGAAAGUAUGGGGAUCGAAGACGAUUAGAUACCGUCGUAGUCUAUACCAUAAACUAUGCCAACUAGAGAUUGGAGGUCGUAUUUUCUAUGACUCCUUCAGCACCUUAUGAGAAAUCAAAGUCUUUGGGUUCCGGGGGGAGUAUGGUCGCAAGGCUGAAACUUAAAGGAAUUGACGGAAGGGCACCACCAGGAGUGGAGCCUGCGGCUUAAUUUGACUCAACACGGGAAAACUUACCAGGUCCAGACAUAGUAAGGAUUGACAGAUUGAUAGCU
Molecule: ribosomal RNA, 644 nt
Filed under: uncultured marine eukaryote
Lineage: Eukaryota
Description: SSU rRNA
Rfam family: Eukaryotic small subunit ribosomal RNA
Source: RNAcentral